Long non-coding RNA from Rhodamnia argentea, 410 nucleotides. RefSeq lists it as uncharacterized. The record is from RefSeq and is a predicted model, not a curated record. The transcript is spliced from 2 exons. Lineage: Eukaryota; Viridiplantae; Streptophyta; Magnoliopsida; Myrtales; Myrtaceae.
GUGAAUGAAACCAACACGUAAGCUAGAUAUGUAUGCCCUUAAAUACGUUCCGUACUAAAAAUCAUAAUUGUACAAGCAAGCAUAUACAGUAAUAUGCAAUCAGUCAGUUCUACGAAAACACCUAAUUCUCUGAUUGGGGAAAGAACAGAGCAUUGGAUAAGAGUAAACUAGCCCAAGAAACGAAUUUAACUCUAUAACAGGGCUAUUCAAAUAUCUUUUCGAAUUAAGCAACCACUUUCUGGAUGCACUUUAUCCCUCCCGCGUCCAUACUCAAAUGCAUGAGACUUCAUCUAUCAGAUGUUGCUUAUCCUAAAAUGAUGAACUAGGAAUUCAGAACUCAGGUCACUGGAAAACAAUAACUUGAAGCUGACUGACAUUUCGAUGCACAGAAAGAAUUCUCAUUGGUAACU